AAUAAAAUCAUUUUUCAGUUUUUUGAUACAAUGUUUUGACUCUUCGUCUUAUUUGAAUUUGUUUUGCGAUUAAUAUUUUUCUUCUUACUAAAUGAUAAAACAUGAAUAGUACUUUAUGUGUGACUAACUUUUUUAAGUUUUUGUACAAAUUUUUUAAAUAAGACGAAUGGUCAAACGUUGGACACGGAAAAACGAGAAAUGAAAUUAUU
This is a non-coding RNA of Oryza brachyantha (malo sina), 209 nucleotides long. The record is from Rfam. NCBI's taxonomy places the organism in Eukaryota, Viridiplantae, Streptophyta, Magnoliopsida, Poales, Poaceae.